Asparagus officinalis (garden asparagus) is the source of this 667-nucleotide long non-coding RNA. RefSeq lists it as uncharacterized. The transcript has 3 exons. The record is from RefSeq and is a predicted model, not a curated record. Lineage: Eukaryota; Viridiplantae; Streptophyta; Magnoliopsida; Asparagales; Asparagaceae.
CCCCCUUAUUUUCUUUAUAGUCCCCCCAUUGAUAAAAUGCAUAGAAACAUGUAAUCCCUCAAGGAACAAUUUCUCAGGAAAAAAAAUCAACGAAAUUGUUUUAUAGAACCACAUUCAAAAGGAAUUUACUGAAAAAGAUCUGCCCUCUUUCUCAAGAUUAUGGUGAAACAAGCGCGAGAUUAGCCUCUUUCCUGAUACAAAAUCUCUUGUGUCAUGAUCCAUCAAGUGGUUAGGAUUGGGCAUCAUGUUGGUCUGAUAUGGAGGUUCCAAGAAGCUACUGGGUUAUCUUUGUUUUUUCUACUUUGCAUCUGAACACUAGGCAUAAGCUCUUCAUGUCACGAGUACUCAGCAAAAUAGGCUACUUCAGCGCCAACCAUCAUUGGCCAUGGUCCCUGGUCUGCACAGUAUUCGUUUUAUGUACAUGAGUUUUCCUUUCCAUGAUAUGUUGGGGAAAAUACCAGUCUGGUAAUUUAGCCUAAUUAUUGUUACACACUAUUUAAUUUCUUGACUAGUUAGGUAACAACCUGUUACAUGAUAUUUUGUUCAUCGUUCUUAAACCUAUAUGCAAUUGUAUGCACUUUCUUUUACUUUUCCUUUGGUACCACUAGUUGUGAUCACAUUAUGAUGAUCCUGAUCUUGCACAUCCAAAUUGCAUGUAGCAGCUCAU